This 5901-nucleotide non-coding RNA is filed under the name Cordylochernes scorpioides. The record is from RNAcentral. Lineage: Eukaryota; Metazoa; Arthropoda; Arachnida; Pseudoscorpiones; Chernetidae.
UAAAUAAGGAGAUAAACUGCAGGCUUUGCAGUUUAGUAAAUAAACAACAGAUCUUCACAGUACUUAGAGGUGAUAACAGUCCCCAAUGUCCUCUCAGUUCGAGAGUCACCAUCAAGAUGCUGCAGAUAAUCGCAGUUCCGACCCUAGAAGUCCACAUGUCGAGAGGCUGCGUCGAAGAUAUCGCGGUCAAUCGCUUUUAUAUGCGUCAUUGAACACACCAGCGUGGCUUUUUCUAUAUCCUUCCCGAAGAAUCCAGCAGCUAGGGAAAGUACAAGUUGAACAGGUAGCGCACGCUCAGACGAACUGUCUCGCGCGCCGCCAGCCAGCGAUAAUCAAAACUGGCGGGAAAAACAUGCUAGAACGUUCUGCGCGCCCCGAUUGGCUGACCCAGUUGUGACGCCACAGCCGUUCCUUCCGCCUGCUGGCUGCACGCGUGUUGCGUGCUAUAUCGUGUCGUUGCAAACAAAGCAAGAUUUUCCGAUCUGCCGUUUCAAUAUAUAUAUAUAUAUAUAUAUAUAUAUAUAUAUAUAAAAAGGCCUACCAUGCCAAAAUCAUAUUUAUCCCCACCUACUUCUACAUCCAGUAACCCAAAUCCAGGAUUCGAAAAAGGGCGGCCAAGGACGCAUACAGGCCAGCGGCCUGGCUUUCAGCAACUCCCAAUCCUCUGCUUCUCAGGAAAAAUAAAUCAAACUCCCACUAAUGUAAAUAUCCCGCUUCCUUGCCCCAGUGUUGCUGGACUCACCCCCCCCCCCUCCCAGGCUAUCAUCACCCUUCUUUCUGUGAAAAAAAUAUAAAAAUAUCUUUAAAAAAUAUUUAAAAAAAUUAAAUAUAAAAUUAUUAAGAAGAAUCGCACAAAAAAAGAUUAUAAAGUAUUAAAUAAAAAAAAAUAUAAUUAAUAUUGCAGGAUCUGGGCAUCUUGGGGUCAGCUUGGGAAAGGUUCAGGGCUGUGGUGAAGCUGGUGUUCUGCCUGAAGAUGGUGAUUUUAACACCCCCACCAUGGGCUUGUGGCUUGCCCAUAUGCAUGCUGGAGUCUGGCUUGGUAUUGGUGGAGUCAAGUCAAACACCAUAGGUCAAUGGCUUGAUACAUGGAAGGGGUGUCUAAGUCCAUUUUGGACUCUGGCUUGGGUUCAAGUCAGCCACCAUGGGACAUGUGGCUCGACCACAAGGAAGGGGUGCUAAGUCCAUCUCAGACUAGCUUGGUAGGGCCAGGUCAUCCACCACAGUUCAGUGGCUUGACCACAGGGAAGGGGCGUCUGAGUCCAUCUGGGACUCUGGCUUGUUGCUGUCAAGGUUGAAGGCGGCCUCAGGCUCCAUCUCUACACUUCAAAAUUACUAGAGGUUGGCAGCUUAGAUGGGGAAAGGUGAGACAUGGUUAGGUUAGGUAGGGUUCUGGGUGAUUUUGGCAUACUGUGGUCACGAGGUGUCCUAACAAUAUCAACAAUUGGAUUCUAACAACAAAAAUCGUGGUAUCUAGUGCAUUUGUUAUAGCAUGGGGUUCUACUGUAUUGUACUAUCAGUAAAAGCAGCGAGUUUGCUAUAAGUUGAUAUUUUCAAGUUUAUUUUUAAAAUUUUAACUAUCAAUAUAAAAACUUUUAUAUCAUAUUUUAGGUAGAUUCAUCAAUAUUACUUGAUUGAACAACUAGACAAAUGACUUGGUUUUGACAGGCCUAUGUGAAUUUUUGGUCAUUUUUGAUAAGGAAAUAUGACAUCACAACUCAAAAUUGAGUGUAGAAAAUAAGACGGAUGAACUAUAAUUUCACGCUCAAUAAUGAUGUGAAUAUCACAAUCACACUACUUGCCUUUUCAGAGGAAUAAUUAUGAUAUAUUCAAUUGUUGAGCCUUCUACAUGCUUCAGGUCGAGCAUUUUAAGGCAGAACUCAUCAUUGGGUGUCGCCAUGGGCCCGCUGCGAGGAAGGGCCAUGGAGAGGGGUGGAGAGGCGCAGACUGGGCGCGUAAGCGCCCCGAGGAGGAAGAGGGCGGUAGCAGGGUUAGAGAGGGAACCAAGGAAGCACCAAGUACAGCGCCAGGCUCCAAGCAAGUCUGGCAGAUUGCAAAUUUACCCCUUUUUCCAGUUUAUUUUAUUGUAAACACAAAAGUACAAAGAUUAGGUAGGUAGCAGAGGGGGUUGAAUUAUAUACAAAGGGGGCAAACAAGGCAUCAUAAAGCAGUAGGGGUGAGGAGGGAGGAAAAAUGAGGGGUAUUUACGGAACAAUGAGAAAAAGAAACAUGAAGGGAGGGCAGAUUAAUUCAAGGAGGAGGGAGAGGGCUAUUAACAAUAUGAAUGAAAGAAAAGCGUUUAAUGGGAAUGGAGGAAAGGGGUAUUUACAAAAGGUGGAAGCUGGAGAGGGAGGAAACUGGGUAUUACCAGGAAGGGGAGGGGGAAGGAUAGUGGAGAGUGGGAUAUGUUCAUGGUUCAGGGAGUUGUGUUGGGUGUGUUGGUGUGUGUCUAGUAGGUUGAGGGGUGAGUGGUUGGGAAGAGGAGAGAGGUGAGUGAGGGUUGUGGGGGAGAGAGGGGGUCCUAAGUGGAGGUGUCACUGUCGGAGCUAGAAUGGGGGAUGUUGGAGGGGACGAAUCGAUUGGAAUGGGUGGCAAAGUCGAGGGUGAGGGCCCAGGCUUUGCUGGAAGAGAAGAGCUGAGGGAGGAAGUAGGGAUGAGACCGAGGUUGGUUAGGCAAUUUUGGAAAAAGGUAGCGCGGAGGAAGUCGAGGUCAGGACAGUCAAAGAAAAUGUGUUCUAUAGUUUCAGGAGCUUGGUUGCAGUGAGGAUAGGUGGGGUCAAAGGGGGGAGGGGUCUUCCUAUGAGGGUUGGCGGCUAUGAAGGUGUGGCCAGUGAUAAGACCGGUGGCUAUGGCAGAGCUUGGUAGAAGAAAGCUAUGGGAGGAGGAGAGGGAGCUGGGGGUGAGGCCGAGUCUGAGAAAGAAGCUGGGCCUGGCCGAGAUGAAUUCGUCUUCCCAGAGAGACCAAAAGUGAUGGGAGAGGAACUUGUGGUGAGUAGUUUUGGAAGCAAGAGCGUAUUUCGGCGAGAGAGAGGGGGCGACGGUGGCUCCUUUGGCUAACGAGUCAGCUAGGCAGUUGCCGAAGUUACCGGAGUGACCUUUGACCCAGUGGAGGGUGAGGUUGCGGGAGGGGAGGAGGGAGUAAAGGAGGGCUUGGCACUUGGCAACGAGAGGGUGAGGGGAGUGGGGGAAAGACAGGGCAGAAAGGAGAGAGAGGCAGUCGGAGGAGAUGGCGGCGGAGAGGGAGGGGGGAAGGCUGCUAAGAUAGGUAAGGGCGGUUUAGAAGGCGAAGCAUUCCGCCUGGAAAACGGAGCAGUGGGAGGCCAGGGGGAUGGAGAGGUCGAGGGGGGGGGGGGGGGGGGGGGAAGCGAGAGGAGAGGGGAGAAGAGGAGAUCCUGGCUAUGCCGGCCCCGACGCCGCUGCGCGACUUGGAGCCGUCGGUGUAGUAGUCGAAGUCGGGAGCGGAGGGGGGAAGGAGCGAGAAGGAGAGGUCUGGGAGGAGAGGAGGGGAGGGGAAGUGGAAUGGGGGAGGGGGGGUUUCGGGAGUGAAGGGGAGAGGCUCGGGGGGGCGAAGGAGGGAAGAGAGGAAGAGGACCUUGAGGUCCAGGGGAAGGACGCGGAGAAGGGCAAUGGCGGUGAGGGUAGGGACUGUGCGGAACCCCCGAAUGACGUGGAUGCAGAAUUUGCGUUGGAUGGAACGGAGGCUCGCUUUACCGACGCGGAGUUUGACUGCUUCGCACCAGAUGGGGGCGGCGUAGGUGAUGGCUGGUUCGACGACUCCGCUGUAGAAGCGUCUCCUCGCGAUGUAGCCGAGCCCGGAGACGGCGUUGGAGCAUUGGGAGAUCCUGCCGAGGAGGGAAGAGGCCUUAUCGCAGACUCGGUAGAGGUGAGGGGUGAAGGAAAGGCGAUCGCCGAAAGUAACGCCCAAGAUGGUGAGGGUUUCGGGACAGGAGAGGGGGGUGUUGUCUAUGAGGAGAUGGGGAGGGUUGCAGUAAAUAGGGAGGACCAGUGACUUAUGUGGGGUGAGGGAGAGCUUGUUGUCCAGGCACCAAGAGUGAAUGAGGUCUAGGGAGGACUGAGCUAGAGAAGGGAGGCUGUUGGGGGGGCCUGAGACGAGGAUCUGAAUGUCGUCUGCGAAGGCCUAAACGUGGACGCCGUGGGGGAAGGGGAGGGAGAGAAUGGGGUUAAAGAAUAUGUUCCAGAGCAGGGGACCGCUGAUGGAGCCCUGAGCGCAUCCCCGCGAGGGAGAGGUGGAGCGAGAGAAUCCUCGAUAGGAGAAGUGGAUAGAGCGGUUGGAAAGGAAAGAGCGGUAAAGUUGGAGGAGGGCGGGGGGGGCAGGAGGCGGCGACAAGUCGACCGAAAAGGGCGGGAUGCCACAGGUGGUCGAAGGCUGAUUUGAUAUCAAGGCUAAUGAGGAGACAGCACUGGUAUUUGGAGAUGGACAGUUUGAUUUUUUGAUGGAGAAGGGAAAGAGCGUCGGUGGUAGAGCGCCUUCGUCGGAAGCCGAAUUGGUGAGGGUGGAGCAGGUGGUUGCUCUCGAAAUGGUGAGAGAGUCGGAAGGCCAUAAGGCUUUCGAGUAGCUUGCUGAGAAUGGGGAGAAUUAUAAUGGGUCGGCAUUUAUGGUUGAAGUCGGUGGAGGAGGAGCAUUUAGGGAGGAGGAGGAGGCGACCCACUUUCCAAAGGGUGGGGAAGUGUCCGACGGAGAAGCUGGGGGGAGAGCUGUUUUGAGCGGAGCGGCGAAGCUUGCGUGAGAGUGAUUUAAGAGAUUGCAGUUGGGGGGACCACCAGGGGACGGGAGGGGGAAAGUUAGUGGAAGGAGGGCGGGGGCGGAGGUGCUGGUGGCAGUUGAGGAAUAGGAUAGAGUAGAAGGAUUGAAGUAGAGAGUCGAGAGAGUCUGAUGAGGUGCAGUGGCCAAGGGCUAGGAUAAGAGAGCCGGAGUUGGUUAGGGAUCUGGCGAGAGAGUUAAAGAGGGACAAAGGAGGCUGGGAGGGAAAGCGGAGGGGAGAGAAGUCGGGGAAAGGGGAAGGAGGGGGAGGAGGAGAAGAGGGGAUGGUGUCAGGAGGGAGGGAAAGAGAGAAGCGGAUCUCGUAGUGGUCGGUAGGGUAGGAGGUCCAGCCAGAAACAGAGGAGAGGAGGGAGGAAGAGACACUGGAGAUGUCAAUGGAGGAGGAGCUGGAGCCCUGGGAGCGGGUGAUAGCUCCCCGGGUGUUGCAAACCUUAAGGUCGAGGGCAUCGAGGAGGUUGAUGUAGUUGCCUUUGGAGUUUGGUUUUUGGCAGCUCCAGCGAGGGGAAACGGCAUUGACAUCUCCAGCGAAGAGAAGGCGAGGGGGGGAGGGGAGCCAAAGAGGGAGAUAAAGGAGUCGAUGAUGGGGGAGUAAGAAGUUGAAUAAUUAUGAUAUUUAAACAAAUUUAUUGUACUAUACACAUGGAAAUUUUGCUGAAGGAAAUUGAUCUAUAAAAAUAAAAGUCGCCUCUCCCUGCAAAAUAGACACUGAAAAUAAUAUAGAUUAGUUUUAACAUAUUUUGACAGAAACCUUUAUUUUUAUUGCACUACAUGUAAAUUAUGUUUCGAUUAUAGUUGUCAGAAAGGAAUUGAGGUAUAUUGGUGUUAAUUUUGUCCACUAAUCUAGUGUGAAUAAAAUAUUUUAGAGUAGAUUUUUUCAGAAUUGAAAACUGAUUUCUCUCUCUCUACAGUAAUGAUUAAAGCAUAUGAUGUCUUGCUGACUCAUCAAUUGUGCAUUGUAAGGCAGUUGAGUAAUUUAUCCUGUUAUUUAUAUAGAGUUCCCUUGUCCAUGGGGUGAGGGUGCCUCUAUAAUUAUCAUGUGAGGAGCCUUUUGGAAAUGUAUUCUACAAGAAACACUACGAUUUAUUUUGGACUCUGAACCAUUGAUAUUGGCCCUGGGAUGA